CCUACGGGUGGCUGCAGUGGGGAAUAUUGGACAAUGGGGGCAACCCUGAUCCUGCCAUGCCGCGUGUGUGAAGAAGGCCCUCGGGUUGUAAAGCACUUUCAGUGAGGAAGAACGCCUGGUGGUUAAUACCCAUCAGGAAAGACAUCACUCACAGAAGAAGCACCGGCUAACUCCGUGCCAGCAGCCGCGGUAAUACGGAGGGUGCGAGCGUUAAUCGGAAUUACUGGGCGUAAAGCGCGCGUAGGUGGCUUGAUAAGCCGGUUGUGAAAGCCCCGGGCUCAACCUGGGAACGGCAUCCGGAACUGUCAAGCUAGAGUGCAGGAGAGGAAGGUAGAAUUCCCGGUGUAGCGGUGAAAUGCGUAGAGAUCGGGAGGAAUACCAGUGGCGAAGGCGGCCUUCUGGACUGACACUGACACUGAGGUGCGAAAGCGUGGGUAGCAAACAGGAUUAGAUACCCUGGUAGUC
Molecule: ribosomal RNA, 465 nt
Filed under: Vreelandella stevensii
Lineage: Bacteria; Pseudomonadati; Pseudomonadota; Gammaproteobacteria; Oceanospirillales; Halomonadaceae
Description: partial 16S ribosomal RNA
Rfam family: Bacterial small subunit ribosomal RNA
Source: RNAcentral